AUGUCUUAUUUAUUGUAUUAAAACAUAAAAAAAAAAAAAAAAAAAAAAAAAAAAAAAAAAAAAAAAAAAAAAAAAAAAAAAAAAAAAAAAAAAAAAAAAAAUCUUAGAUAUUAAAAAUAGCACGGUGUCGUCUCCUGUCAAAGAUUUUCAUUGUAAUAUGAAACUUUGAAUAGUUACGGGCUUCUGUAAAGAGCUCACUAUAGACGGCGCCACGGUUCGCUUAAACCGAAAUUAAAAAUUAUCAUAUCGAAAAUUUCGCUCGAGCGGGUGCAUCGUUCC
This 279-nucleotide unclassified non-coding RNA is filed under the name Melitaea cinxia (Glanville fritillary). RNAcentral describes it as "misc RNA ENSMCXG00005007282.1". The record is from RNAcentral. Lineage: Eukaryota; Metazoa; Arthropoda; Insecta; Lepidoptera; Nymphalidae.